UGGGGAAUAUUGCACAAUGGGGGAAACCCUGAUGCAGCGACGCCGCGUGAACGAAGAAGGUAUUCGUAUCGUAAAGUUCUGUCCUAUGGGAAGAUAAUGACAGUACCAUAGAAGAAAGCUCCGGCUAAAUACGUGCCAGCAGCCGCGGUAAUACGUAUGGAGCGAGCGUUGUCCGGAAUUAUUGGGCGUAAAGGGUACGCAGGCGGUUUAAUAAGUCGAAUGUUAAGGAUCGGGGCUCAACCCCGCAAAGCAUUGGAAACUGAUAAACUUGAGUAGUGGAGAGGAAAGUGGAAUUCCUAGUGUAGUGGUGAAAUACGUAGAUAUUAGGAGGAAUACCAGUAGCGAAGGCGACUUUCUGGACACAAACUGACGCUGAGGUACGAAAGCGUGGGGAGCAAACAGG
Molecule: ribosomal RNA, 403 nt
Filed under: bacterium
Lineage: Bacteria
Description: partial 16S ribosomal RNA
Rfam family: Bacterial small subunit ribosomal RNA
Source: RNAcentral